This 253-nucleotide ribosomal RNA is filed under the name uncultured bacterium. Its description in RNAcentral is "partial 16S ribosomal RNA". It matches the Rfam family "Bacterial small subunit ribosomal RNA", at positions 524 to 776 of the family's 1533-position model. The record is from RNAcentral.
UACAGAGGUCUCAAGCGUUGUUCGGAUUCAUUGGGCGUAAAGGGUGCGUAGGUGGCGAGGUUAGUCAGGUGUGAAAUCUCGGGGCUCAACCCCGAAACUGCACUUGAUACUGCCUUGCUAGAGUACUGGAGAGGAGACUGGAAUUUACGGUGUAGCGGUGAAAUGCGUAGAUAUCGUAAGGAAGACCAGUGGCGAAGGCGGGUCUCUGGACAGUUCCUGACGCUGAGGCACGAAGGCCAGGGGAGCAAACGGG